UUCGGGGGACAGGGUGGACAGGUGGUGCAUGGUUGUCGUCAGCUCGUGUCGUGAGAUGUUGGGUUAAAGUCCCGCAACGAGCGCAACCCUCGACCUUAGUUGCCAGCAUUCAGUUGGGCACUCUAAGGUGACUGCCGGCUAAAAGUCGGAGGAAGGUGGGGAUGACGUCAAGUCCUCAUGGCCCUUAUAGGUGGGGCUACACACGUCAUACAAUGGAUGGUACAAAGGGUCGCCAACCCGCGAGGGGGAGCCAAUCCCAUAAAGCCAUUCGUAGUCCGGAUCGCAGUCUGCAACUCGACUGCGUGAAGUCGGAAUCGCUAGUAAUCGUGGAUCAGAAUGUCACGGUGAAUACGUUCCCGGGUCUU
RNAcentral lists this ribosomal RNA (365 nucleotides) under uncultured Acidovorax sp. RNAcentral describes it as "bacterial SSU rRNA". It matches the Rfam family "Bacterial small subunit ribosomal RNA", at positions 1016 to 1382 of the family's 1533-position model. The record is from RNAcentral. Lineage: Bacteria; Pseudomonadati; Pseudomonadota; Betaproteobacteria; Burkholderiales; Comamonadaceae.